RNAcentral lists this ribosomal RNA (120 nucleotides) under Salvator merianae (Argentine black and white tegu). Lineage: Eukaryota; Metazoa; Chordata; Lepidosauria; Squamata; Teiidae. The record is from RNAcentral.
UUUUUUAGCCUCAGCAGCUGAUGGCAUCUAACCAACCAUGAUUGAUCUCAAAGCUAAGCAGGCUCAGAGCUGAUUAAUACUUGGAUGGGAGACCAACAGAAAAUUCUAGAGCUCAAAGAU